GAAGAGCACGGUCCCUUUAAAUGAUACGGAAGCCGGGAAGGAAAGCGCGGGGUAGAAAGGGCAGAGUCCGUGACUAGGCCUCUAGCCCCAGGGACCUAGGCGAGGACAGGCACUCCUGCUUUUCCAAGAGCACCCUGGCCCGCCACGCCCCCAGCCUGGGCCUAUAAACACCCACGACCCUAGCAAGGCAGAGACAGAAGCUGCUGGAGGGCGAGAGGAACGCAUCAGUGGAAGAAGACAGAAGCGGCUGGUCACGGAGAGCAUGUCAGCAGAAGAACACACCUACAGACGCCGGCUCGCCCGCGGGCUCCCCGGCAGGCCAUCGACCGGUGGGACGAGGUGGAGUUUGUCCUGGGCAGUAGGAGGACAGCCCGGGCACCCAGCGGCCCAACUCCAGGGGAAAGCCAUCUCCCUUCUGGAGCUGCCCAACUCCGGGGGAAAACCAUCUCCUUUCUGACUCUCCUGUCGGUGGAGAGUUACUUCCACUCAAUACGAUUUUGCAGUCAUUCUCCAAGCCCACGUGUGAUCCGAUUCUUCCGGUACACCAAGGCAAGAACCCGGGAUACAGAAAGCCCUCUGGCCUUAUGACAAGGUAGAGGGUCUAACUGAGCUAUAGACCGUGAACUAAGAGCGCACCCUGGAACACACGCCCUCUGGGGCUUCAGCUGUAAACAUCCACCCUUAGACACUGCCAUGGGGUUGGAGCCCCACAACCUGCCCAUCUCUAUGCCCCACUAGAGGUAUGACCAACGGGGCACUGAAGAGGCGAGCACACCCCAUCGCACGCCCUGCAAGGGGGACGGGGGAACCUUUCCCAUUUCAACACCACCGCUGUGGCUGCAUGUGGCUGCCAUAAGAAAAAGAACCCAUUCUUUGGCACAGCUGAAGCAGGACUCUUCUCGUUGUUCUCCAGAGUCUGGCUGGCCUGGAACGUGCCAUGACUGUACAAUAUGAUAGGAGGGAGACUGUACCAGCUCCAAGCCAGCUUUUCUGAUACCUGCAGCUUCUGAUUCCUCUGGAGGAGAAGUCAGCUACUAGUUCCAGUUCCACAUCACAGUCACGCAAAUGUAAGAGAAUGGAGAAUGCAGUCCUUUCUCAGCUGGGCACAAAGUAAUGCUGAGUGAAACAGAAGUUGUUAUUGUGGAAGAGGACCCCGUAUCUGACCAGUUUCCAACUCAUCUUCACUUGGGAGUUGGCUGUGAAGAGACAGGCAAGUCUCUUCAUCAAGCAGGAGGAAAACAUACAGCGGGAAGGAAAUAUGAAACGACCUCAUUUCUAGUUUAACCCUUUGGAUCUCCUUUGUACCACGUCUCCUUGGAUGAGAAGAGUCUCCCUCUCAUCAGCACAUUAAGGAAUCUACCAUACAACUUCAGUCUUCAGUAUUGCCAAAGACUAGUAACCUAUGCUCCAAGAGUUAAUGACUAUAAGUGCAUCACUGAAGCCUGUAGAAAAAGGCCCUGAUGCCUCCUGCCCUAAUAAUUUAUAGGACGGGCGCCCUCUCUGAUCAGCAUGUUAAGGAAUCUACCCUAACAAAAGGUUUGAAAAAGUUGGUUGGAUUGGCUACAUGCAUAACUCGGGAUCAGUUCUCUUCAUGCAUCUGCUAAUACUCAUGGUUCCUGAAAAAGACUUGAUAUGCUUGCUCUUUGGAAGAGGGGAUUAGCUUUGACCCUUCUUCCACAGCUGUUCCAGUUCUGUUCUUCCACAGCUGUUCCAGUUCUGCUCCCAACUUUUUGACAAACUUACAUAAACUACCCAAGGUAAAGACGAAAACCCAGCCCAGUUCCUGGCUUGUUUGGCAGCAACCCUGAGGCUCUUUACAGCCCUAGACCCUGAAGGGCCAGAAGGCCGUCUUAUUCUCAGUAUGUAUUUUAUCACCCAGUCAGCUCUUGACAUUAGAAAAAAGCUUCAAAAACUGGAAUCUGGCCCUCAAACCCCACAACAGGAAUUAAUCAACUUCGCCUUCAAGGUGUACAAUAAUAGAGAGGAGGCAGCCAAGUGACAACACAUUUCUGAGUUACAGUUACUUGCCUCUGUUCUGAGACAAAACCCAGCCAGACCUCCAGCACCCAAGAACUUCAAAACGCCUAAGCCGCAGUGGUCAGGCAUUUCUACGGGACCUCCUCCAUCAGGAUCUUGCUUCAAGUGCCAGAAAUCUGGCCACUGGGCCAAGGAAUGCCCACUGCCCAUGAUUCCCCCGCAAGCCCUGUCCCAUCUGUGCAGGGACCCACUGGAAAUCCGACUGCCCAGCUCGCCCGGCAGCCACUCCUAGAGCCCCUAAAGCUCUGGCCCGAGGCUCUCUGACCGACUCCUUCCCAGAUCUGCUCGGCUUAGUGGCUGAAGACUAACACUGCCCGAUCACCUUGGAAGCCCCCUGGACCAUCACAGACGCCGAGCCUCGGGAAACUCUCACAGUGGAGGGUGUCCAUGCAGUCCCUGGUCAUGCUUGAAGCAGUCCCGAGAAACAUCACCCCUACCCUAAUAAUCCCCAGUAAAACUUAUAUUUCUUUAUCUUUUCUUAUAACUUUAUAUUUUAUAAGUAAAAAGACAGGAAUGUCAGGCCUCUGAGCUGAAGCUCAGCCAUUGUAACCCCUGUGACCUGCACAUAUAUGUCCAGAUGGCCUGCAGGAGCCAAGAAGUCUGAGGCAACCCAAAACUACAAAAAAAGUGAAACAGCCAGCUCCUGUCUUAACUGAUUGACCAGCCUUAUGACAUUCCAUUAUAACUUGUUCCUGCCCUGCCCCAACUGAUUGAUCGACCUCAUGACAUUCUUCUUCUGGACAAUGAGUCUUAUGAUCUCCCCACCAUGCACCUUGUGACCCCCUCCUCUGCUGACAACAGAUAACCACCUCUAACUGUAACUUUCCACUGCUUACCCCAGUCCUAUAAAGCGGCCCCUCUCCUAUCUCCCUUUGCUGACUCUCUUUUCAGACUCAGCCCACUUGCACCCAAGUGAAAUAAACAGCCUUGUUGCUCACACAAAGCCUGUUGGUGGACUCUCUUAACACGGACUCGCGUGACACAAUUAAUUUAAAACUUAACAGUGGCGAUUAACCAGUUUGCACAGAGAGAAAGAGACCAGAGACUGAUGUAAGAAAUUCUUACCCUUCUGCCUGCAUGCCGGGUUUCUGGGUUCUCUCUCCCUGAGCACCCCUGGUGACCCUGCCUGACUGUAUACAAACAAACACAUUGCCAUGAAUCAAGAAUAUUCACAAACACUUUACAAAUUUUGAAGAAACUAGGCAGAGAGAGAGAUAAAUAUGACUCAAAUUCUAUUUGUGAGAGUACACUCAACACACUUCAAGUAUCAGGAAACCUAAAAUCCAAAGUUUGUUUAAAGAUAAAAACCUGGUGUAUUCCAUUAAUUCCUGUAGCCCAACAAAGGUAGCUUUAGGAAUUCCAGAUAAAUGGAAUGAAUGACCACUUGCUAGAAAUGCAUAGGAAACAAAAUAACUAUUCACAGAACCAAAUAAAAGCCUUCCACUAGCAUGGGUUUAUAUUAUAUAGAGAGACACACAAGCAAACCAAAGGAGAAUAACAGCAAACCAAUGAAAACUAGAAGAGAAAACAAAUAAACCAAAAAACAAACCUAAAUUUUCAUACUCAACUUACCCUGGAAACUACAGUGUUACCUAGGGCCCCCCAAAACCCAUAUAAUGAACAUUUUAUUCCUGAUAUACAAUUCAAUAUCCUUAAGUUCACCAAUAUCAUUAGACAUUCUGUGCAAUCAAGAAAUCCACUUCAGGCAGAUGACCAAUAAGUGCUCCAGCACUAUUCACGGAAAAUGGUGAACAGAGUGAAGUGAUGCAAGCAUGUGUGUGAACAUUGGUUUUACGCUAAAUUCAGCUUCAUGCUUAACUAUAGUAAAAAAAGAAUUGCGAAACUGCCGAUGCAUUUUUACAAUACUUCUUACCUUAAUCAACACUAAGAGUUUUAACUAUGAAAAUGUUAAUUAGCCAAAUGUUUCCAAUUCUUUAUCAUGUUUUGAGGAAUAUUUUAUUAUUUAAACUUUUUCCACUCCUUUCUCCCCUACUUAAUGAUUCCUUACUACACUGAUUCAUAAAUAACCUUUUCAAAUCUGUAAUUUGAACUAACUUUUAUACAACUUCAGAAUUAGACAAAAUUAUUCUUUUUUCCACCAAUAAGCCUUUCUGGCACAUUUUGUAUACAGAAUUAUGUGCUAACUAGAAUUUUAUAUUUAGUAACCUAAAACUUUAGUGAAACCCUAAAAAGCAAACCCUGAACUAUUAGAUAUGGGCAUUUAUAGACAGGAAUAAUUCCACAAUUUUAGCAACAUGCUUCUCCAUAUUACUACCCAUUUUUAAUUGGAAAUGACCCAGAUAUCAAAUGAGCAUUAAAAAUAACUUUAAGAUUUUAAUUUACACAAAAAGUUUACUUAAAAUAAUUAUCCUCUUCACUGUACUCAAUUUUUUAUUUUUAACAAGGGAGAUGUCAAUCAACAUAUGUCAAAUGAACGUUGGUUUGGCCCAGAAAGGUGGGACAACUCAAGGAGAGGAGGGGGCUUGGGGCUUUCAGAUCAUGGGUGGGAGACAAAUGGUUGCAUUCCUUUGACUUUCUGAUUAGCCUUUCCAAAGAAAGCAAUCAUAUAUGCAUUUAUCUCAGUGACACUUUGAAUAGAAUGGGAGGCAGGCUCGCCCCUAGCAGCUCCCAGCUUGGACUAACACUAACAUUUUUAAAUAUCUAGCAAAGACAAACAUAAAAUUCAGACAAAAUGUAUGCUGACAAUUCUGAUGGCAUUUCUCUUUUUAUUCCACCAAUAAUUGUAAAGCCAGUUUGUUUAAUAAAGUUAUACUUAAGUCAUGUGAACUUGAAAAUUGCUCAGACUUAUUUACUUAAUUUAUGAGCAUUCUUUUACUUAUAACCAAUUUGGAAGACACAAUAUAUAACAAUAAGUGUAUAUACAAAUAAUCACAUCUAGACAUGUAUACACACACAUAAACGAAGAUCCAAUAGCUUGGAACCUUGGCCGUGAGAUAGCAAUACAAGCUUGCCAGUUUUACUUUGCCCCAAUAGAUAAUCCAAGGAAGGCUGAGAACCAAAAUUUUGGGUAAAUCAGUCUCCAUGGCAGUUUGAUUUUUAAAGGCUAAACCUCCCCAGACUCCAAGGAGCACUGGGGCCAAACAGUACCAAAGGAGGGCGUCACACGUUAACCAGGCUCCCUGCUUAGAACAGCAGCACAAAAGCCUGAAUACAUGCAAUGCCAUCCCACUUUCCAAUUCGACAGCAAACUUCAGAUUCUAAGCAAUUUUGGGGCCAAGCAGCAUUGCAACUGUGAGAGAAAAUUCCAAAG
This 5308-nucleotide long non-coding RNA is filed under the name Homo sapiens (human). RNAcentral's name for it is "HSALNT0197038". Lineage: Eukaryota; Metazoa; Chordata; Mammalia; Primates; Hominidae. The record is from RNAcentral.